Odontomachus brunneus is the source of this 1748-nucleotide long non-coding RNA. RefSeq lists it as uncharacterized. The transcript has 6 exons. NCBI's taxonomy places the organism in Eukaryota, Metazoa, Arthropoda, Insecta, Hymenoptera, Formicidae. The record is from RefSeq and is a predicted model, not a curated record.
GAAAUUCUAGUUGAAAGUCCAAAAUCGCCAGAUUUCACGAUGAAUACGAUGGCUCUAAAAAUAUGCUCUUUCAAUAUUCUUCCGCUAGAUGGCAGCACGGCAGAGAUGAUUUUGAUAUCGUCGUGAGCGCCAAUUUGUGUGAGAAAGAGAGGAGAGGGAGAGAGAGAGGGGAAAGGGAGAAAGAGAGACAGAAAGAAACUUGUUUAUACCCAGCAACAUGUCUAAAAUCAAGACAUAAGACGUCUUAAAGAUAAUCUUUAAGACGCCUUAAAGACAUUUAUACGUAAAUCGUCUGAAGAUAUCUAAAAGAUGAUCUUUAAGAUCUUAUGUCCCGAUUUUAGACAUAUUAUCUGGGUAUUGACACGAAAGGUUAUGUUUGUUCGAUGCUGUCGUCAGCGUUGAUGAUAAUCAAUUUUCUCUUUCCUGUGCGAGGAUUACAAUCCAGUCUACAGUGGUGAAUACGUAGUAUAAACGAAACGAAUCGAGGAAACGACGAAGUUUUCUAGCCGACGAUGCGAUAAAGAAAUUAAAUUGGCAAGCGAUAAAGAAAUUAAAUUGGCUGCAUGCUAAUUUGGGAGACAGCGGACAAAUCGUUGAUACUGCUGAUGCACUGUUUACGAGCAGAGAAGGGCAGAAAUAUCGCCAUCGCUCUCGUGGAAACAUUAAUAAACCACGAGGUAUGACUAAAUGGAUUGGAAUUUUUUAUAGCGCUGGCAGUAUAAAUCAGAUAUUUUUAUACUUGUAAUACCUGUGUACACAAACUUGCGAGUAUUAACACCCAUAAUGAAAGCAACUUUUAUUUACAAAAUGACUGAAUAUGAACGGACGAACGAGGUAAAGUUGGCGCAUAUAAUUAAGAGUCAAUAGGAGGGCUGUGGAGACCUCUCGCGGAGACUCCGAAAUUACUAACUAGAAUACAUAUUUAAUGUGUGACUUUUUUAUCCUGCGCUACUAGGCAAUUGAACCUAGUACUAGUGCAGCUGCAUACUGCUGUAUAAAAAUGUACGAUCAACAGGAUCGUGGCGGGCAUUAACACAUAGAAGAAGACGAGAAGAAUGUUUAUUUUAUAUUUGGUCCAAAGCUAAGAUCUCCUUGAAAUCACUAAUGGAAUCACUAAUGGAAACCGCUAGUCUUUCGACAUCGAAAGCGCGAAUACGACAGGAAACGUUGCCGUGACAUGUCGUGACUGAUGAACCAUAUCUUACUCUUAAUCCGUCGAAUCCGGGUCGAUGUCGGCUUCAUGCGAUUAAAGGUUCGUUCGGUUGCCCUUUCUGCUCAGAGAGUAGAGUGGAUUUAAUUACAGGCAGAUCGCGCUUAAUCCAAGCUUUAUCGACGCUCGGACGAUCACCAUUGGAGGAGCGUGGAGUUGUUAUCUACACGAAAAGAAUAUUAUAUGAAAAAAUAUUACAUGCAGCUUUCUUUCAUAUGAAUACCUUUCAAUAUUAACAUAUCAAUAUUAAUAUACAUUUCAAUGUUAACAUAGUAUAACAUGUUUAGUAGAAUGCAGGAAUAAAUUAUGAGUGGAGAAUUUACUUUGCUAAGAAACACAAUGGUAAAUUUUUUAUUAGUUUCGAAAAUAUAAAUAUAUAUAAAACGGGAAGAUAAUAAAUUAAGGCAGAAUGUCAGUCAAUGUUCCUCGAGAUUAUAAAGUUCUAUAAUUAUCUUUAUUGUAAAAUUCCUUCCGUGAAGCCACUCACUACGAUGUAUAGCGAGAGAUCGUUCCUAUUUCUUUUCAUAUUUUAUCCGAA